RNAcentral lists this ribosomal RNA (253 nucleotides) under uncultured bacterium. Its description in RNAcentral is "partial 16S ribosomal RNA". It matches the Rfam family "Bacterial small subunit ribosomal RNA", at positions 524 to 776 of the family's 1533-position model. The record is from RNAcentral.
GACAGAGGGUGCAAACGUUGUUCGGAAUUACUGGGCGUAAAGCGUGUGUAGGCGGCCAUGUAAGUCGGAUGUGAAAGCCCCGGGCUUAACCCGGGAAGUGCACUCGAUACUGCGUGGCUUGAGUAUCGGAGAGGUUGGUGGAAUUCUCGGUGUAGAGGUGAAAUUCGUAGAUAUCGAGAGGAACACCGGUGGCGAAGGCGGCCAACUGGACGAAUACUGACGCUGAGACACGAAAGCGUGGGGAGCAAACAGG